CUUAUCAAUAAGCGGAGGAAAAAGAAACCAACAGGGAUUGCCCUAGUAACGGCGAGUGAACAGGCAAGAGCUCAGAUUUGAAAGGCACUUUUGUGCCGUUGUAUUCUGAAGUUAGGGUCCUGAGAAACGAUGCUUAAGUAAAUUCUGGAAAGGAGCGCCAUGGAGGGUGAUAGCCCCGUCUAGCAUUGACCUCAUAUAGGAUCUUAACAUGGAGUCGAGUUGUUUGGGAAUGCAGCUCAAAUGGGUGGUAUGCUCCAUCUAAAGCUAAAUAUCUGCGAGAGACCGAUAGUAAACAAGUACUGUGAGGGAAAGAUGAAAAGAACUUUGAAAAGAGAGUGAAAAAGUACGUGAAAUUGUUGAAAUGGAAGGGUAGGCCGCUAACCAUGUAGAGCCGUGUUUGGGGGGAAGAUAAAUGCUGUAGAAUGUAGCUCCUCGGAGUAUUAUAGAUGCAGUUCAUAUUCCCACCACGAGCGCGAGGAUCUCUAGUGUCUAUACAUAAAUGGUGGUAAUCACUCUGUC
This 519-nucleotide ribosomal RNA is filed under the name Starmerella bacillaris. RNAcentral's name for it is "partial large subunit ribosomal RNA". It matches the Rfam family "Eukaryotic large subunit ribosomal RNA", at positions 39 to 578 of the family's 3401-position model. Lineage: Eukaryota; Fungi; Ascomycota; Dipodascomycetes; Dipodascales; Trichomonascaceae. The record is from RNAcentral.